Molecule: ribosomal RNA, 320 nt
Filed under: uncultured eukaryote
Lineage: Eukaryota
Description: partial 18S ribosomal RNA
Rfam family: Eukaryotic small subunit ribosomal RNA
Source: RNAcentral
CCCUUAGAUGUUCUGGGCUGCACGCGCGCUACAAUGGCGUUUUCAAAAAGAUUGCUAAUCCGAAAGGACCAGCGGAUCUUCGAAGUGGCGUCGUGAUCGGGACAGUUGAUUGCAAUUAUUCGACUCGAACGAGGAAUUCCUUGUAAUCGUGCGUCAUCAGCGCACGCUGAAUACGUCCCUGUUCUUUGUACACACCGCCCGUCGCUCCUACCGAUCGAGCGAUCCAAUGAAUGUUUCGGAGCGGAACUGAGAUGCUAAUGCGUCUCUUUUACGCGAAUUUGUGUGAAUUUGAUCGCUUAGAGGAAGGAGAAGUCGGAACA